Molecule: ribosomal RNA, 497 nt
Filed under: uncultured bacterium
Lineage: Bacteria
Description: partial 16S ribosomal RNA
Rfam family: Bacterial small subunit ribosomal RNA
Source: RNAcentral
GAUGAACGCUGGCGGCGUGCCUAAUACAUGCAAGUCGAGCGAACAGACGAGGAGCUUGCUCCUCUGACGUUAGCGGCGGACGGGUGAGUAAAACGUGGAUAACCCACCUAUAUGACUGGGAUAACUUCGGGAAACCGGAGCUAAUACCGGAUAAUAUAUUUAACCGCAUGGUUCAAUAGUGAAAGACGGUUUUGCUGUCACUUAUAGAUGGAUCCGCGCCGCAUUAGCUAGUUGGUAAGGUAACGGCUUACCAAGGCAACGAUGCGUAGCCGACCUGAGAGGGUGAUCGGCCACACUGGAACUGAGACACGGUCCAGACUCCUACGGGAGGCAGCAGUAGGGAAUCUUCCGCAAUGGGCGAAAGCCUGACGGAGCAACGCCGCGUGAGUGAUGAAGGUCUUCGGAUCGUAAAACUCUGUUAUAAGGGAAGAACAAAUGUGUAAGUAACUAUGCACGUCUUGACGGUACCUAAUCAGAAAGCCACGGCUAACUACGUG